AGAACGAACGCUGGCGGCAGGCCUCAAACAUGCAAGUCUAGGGGGUGUAGCAAUACAUCACCGGCGGACGGGUGCGUAACACGUGGGAAUAUACCUUUUGGUUCGGAACAACGCAGGGAAACUUGCGCUAAUACCGAAUGUGCCCUUACGGGGAAAGAUUUAUCGCCAAAGGAUUAGCCCGCGUAGGAUUAGCUAGUUGGUGAGGUAAUGGCUCACCAAGGCUCCGAUCCUUAGCUGUUCUGAGAGGAAGAUCAGCCACACUGGGACUGAGACACGGCCCAGACUCCUACGGGAGGCAGCAGUUGGGAAUCUUGGACAAUGGGGAAACCCUGAUCCAGCCAUGCCGCGUGAGUGAUGAAGGCCUUCGGGUUGUAAAACUCUUUCGGACGGGGACGAUAAUGACGGUACCCGUAGAAGAAGCUCCGGCUAACUUCGCGCCAGCAGCCGC
This 448-nucleotide ribosomal RNA is filed under the name uncultured bacterium. RNAcentral's name for it is "SSU rRNA". It matches the Rfam family "Bacterial small subunit ribosomal RNA", at positions 26 to 518 of the family's 1533-position model. The record is from RNAcentral.